Molecule: ribosomal RNA, 507 nt
Filed under: uncultured bacterium
Lineage: Bacteria
Description: bacterial LSU rRNA
Rfam family: Bacterial large subunit ribosomal RNA
Source: RNAcentral
ACGAGAUAAGUUGGGCAGUCAAAAGGGAAAGAGCCCAGACCUUCAGUUAAGGUCCCAAAGUGUGCGUUAAGUGGAAAAGGAUGUGGGAUUUCGAAGACAACCAGGAUGUUGGCUCAGAAGCAGCCAUUCAUUCAAAGAGUGCGUAAUAGCUCACUGGUCGAGAGGUCCUGCGCCGAAAAUGUCCGGGGCUGAAACGCACCACCGAAACUAAGGGAUCCGAAAGGAUCGGUAGAGGAGCAUUGCAUGCGGGAUGAAGCAGUACCGUAAGGAGCUGUGGACUGCAUGGAAGAGAGAAUGCCGGAAUGAGUAGCGAGAUAGAGGUGAGAAUCCUCUAGGCCGAAUAUCCAAGGUUCCAGGGUAAAGCUGAUCUGCCCUGGGUAAGUCGGGCCGUAAGGUGAGGACGAGAGUCGUAGCCGAUGGACAACAGGUGGAGAUUCCUGUACUAUGAUAUGACAGAACUGUGGGGACACGUGCAGAGAGCGGAAGCCGGGAAUGGGAUCCCGGUGC